AACGUAGGACGCAAGCGUUAUCCGGAGUGACUGGGCGUAAAGGGCGUGUAGGCGGCCUUUCAAGUUCGUCGUGAAAUUCUCCGGCUCAACCGGGGGAGGACGAGGGAGACUGAGAGGCUGGAGGACGGUAGAGGGACAGGGAAUUCCGGGUGUAGUGGUGAAAUGCGUAGAGAUCCGGAGGAACACCAGUGGCGAAGGCGCUGUCCUGGGCCGUUUCUGACGCUGAGACGCGACAGCAUGGGGAGCGAACGGGAUUAGAAACCCCAGUAGUCC
This 273-nucleotide ribosomal RNA is filed under the name uncultured bacterium. RNAcentral's name for it is "partial 16S ribosomal RNA". It matches the Rfam family "Bacterial small subunit ribosomal RNA", at positions 524 to 796 of the family's 1533-position model. The record is from RNAcentral.